GGAAUGGCGAGUGCUUACCAUGCAAGUCGAACGAUGAAGCCGCUUCGGUGGUGGAUUAGUGGCGAACGGGUGAGUAACACGUGGGCAAUCUGCCCUGCACUCUGGGACAAGCCCUGGAAACGGGGUCUAAUACCGGAUAUGACACGGGAUCGCAUGGUCUCCGUGUGGAAAGCUCCGGCGGUGCAGGAUGAGCCCGCGGCCUAUCAGCUUGUUGGUGGGGUGAUGGCCUACCAAGGCGACGACGGGUAGCCGGCCUGAAGAGGGGCGACCGGCCACCACUGGACUGAGACACGGCCCAGACUCCUACGGGAGGCAGCAGUGGGGAAUAUUGCACAAUGGGCGCAAGCCUGAUGCAGCGACGCCGCGUGAGGGAUGACGGCCUUCGGGUUGUAAACCUCUUUCAGCAGGGAAGAAGCGCAAGUGACGGUACCUGCAGAAGAAGCACCGGGCUAACUACGUGCCAGCAGCCGCGGUAAUACGUAGGGUGCGAGCGUUGUCCGGAAUUAUUGGGCGUAAAGAGCUCGUAGGCGGCUUGUCGCGUCGGAUGUGAAAGCCCGGGGCUUAACCCCGGGUCUGCAUUCGAUACGGGCAGGCUAGAGUUCGGCAGGGGAGAUUGGAAUUCCUGGUGUAGCGGUGAAAUGCGCAGAUAUCAGGAGGAACACCGGUGGCGAAGGCGGAUCUCUGGGCCGAUACUGACGCUGAGGAGCGAAAGCGUGGGGAGCGAACAGGAUUAGAUACCCUGGUAGUCCACGCCGUAAACGUUGGGCACUAGGUGUGGGCGGCAUUCCACGUCGUCCGUGCCGCAGCUAACGCAUUAAGUGCCCCGCCUGGGGAGUACGGCCGCAAGGCUAAAACUCAAAGGAAUUGACGGGGGCCCGCACAAGCGGCGGAGCAUGUGGCUUAAUUCGACGCAACGCGAAGAACCUUACCAAGGCUUGACAUACACCGGAAAGCCGUAGAGAUACGGCCCCCCUUGUGGUCGGUGUACAGGUGGUGCAUGGCUGUCGUCAGCUCGUGUCGUGAGAUGUUGGGUUAAGUCCCGCAACGAGCGCAACCCUUGUCCUGUGUUGCCAGCAACUCCUUUCGGGAGGUUGGGGACUCACGGGAGACUGCCGGGGUCAACUCGGAGGAAGGUGGGGACGACGUCAGGUCAUCAUGCCCCUUAUGUUCUUGACCUGCACACGUGCUACAAUGGCCGGUACAAUGAGCUGCGAAUGCCGUGAGGUGGAGCGAAUCUCAAAAAGCCGGUCUCAGUUCGGAUUGGGGUCUGCAACUCGACCCCAUGAAGUCGGAGUCGCUAGUAAUCGCAGAUCAGCAUUGCUGCGGUGAAUACGUUCCCGGGCCUUGUACACACCGCCCGUCACGUCACGAAAGUCGGUAACACCCGAAGCCGGUGGCCCAACCCCUUGUGGGAGGGAAUCGUCGAAUAUGGAUCUGCUUUUCCC
This 1445-nucleotide ribosomal RNA is filed under the name Streptomyces albus. RNAcentral's name for it is "bacterial SSU rRNA". It matches the Rfam family "Bacterial small subunit ribosomal RNA". Lineage: Bacteria; Bacillati; Actinomycetota; Actinomycetes; Kitasatosporales; Streptomycetaceae. The record is from RNAcentral.